CGGGGCGUAGCGCAGCCCGGUAGCGCACUCGCUUGGGGUGCGAGAGGUCGGGGGUUCAAAUCCCCCCGCCCCGACCA
RNAcentral lists this transfer RNA (77 nucleotides) under Nitrospira sp. Its description in RNAcentral is "tRNA-Pro". It matches the Rfam family "tRNA". Rfam says of the family: Transfer RNA (tRNA) molecules are approximately 80 nucleotides in length. Their secondary structure includes four short double-helical elements and three loops (D, anti-codon, and T loops). Further hydrogen bonds mediate the characteristic L-shaped molecular structure. tRNAs have two regions of fundamental functional importance: the anti-codon, which is responsible for specific mRNA codon recognition, and the 3' end, to which the tRNAs corresponding amino acid is attached (by aminoacyl-tRNA synthetases). tRNAs cope with the degeneracy of the genetic code in two manners: having more than one tRNA (with a specific anti-codon) for a particular amino acid; and 'wobble' base-pairing, i.e. permitting non-standard base-pairing at the 3rd anti-codon position. The record is from RNAcentral. Lineage: Bacteria; Pseudomonadati; Nitrospirota; Nitrospiria; Nitrospirales; Nitrospiraceae.